Molecule: long non-coding RNA, 2066 nt
Filed under: Triticum aestivum (bread wheat)
Lineage: Eukaryota; Viridiplantae; Streptophyta; Magnoliopsida; Poales; Poaceae
Description: long non-coding RNA (TAES_LNC014719)
Source: RNAcentral
ACCCCGUGCCCCACCUUCUCCCAUGGCAGCAGUCGCCGCCCCUCCCCCACCAUCUCAUGCCCCCUGGGCCGCUCACCAUCCCGUAUCCUCAGCGUGCCGGCCUCCACGAUCCCCAGCGCGCCAACCUCCAGUUCUUCACCUACCCCAUCGUGACGCCACCCAAUCUUCUUCCUCCUGGAUUCUCCUAGCCAUGGCGAGUGCCUCCUCCCUGCGCCAAGCUCGCUCUAGACUACGCAGAGCCACCAACUCCCACCGCCUCACGUGCAGUACAACCCCACCCAUGUACGAGGUUCAAAGACCUUGCAGAGAGAAGGAAAUGAUAUGUUAAGGUCAGCAGCUUCCUCGUCGCCAUCCCGGUAUGGUUCAUGUCCUGUGUUCAUCCUCCACUGAUUUUACUAACUAGCGGCAACAUAACCUCCGCCUGCACAUUUUUUUGGAAGUUCUAGAAUUCCUAGAGCUUUAGUCUAACUAUAUUGCUUCUGCGAUUAUUCCUACACAGAAAAACAUACUGAUGAUUGUUUUGUUCCCUGGACCUAAACACAUUUGUUCUUUAAGCUUAAAUGCAUUUAUUCUCUGAACUUAAAUAGGUUGGUUCUCUGAACAUAAGUGUGUGCGUUCUGUGUGUGUUGAAGCAUUAUAUAUUCAGUUGUACUGUUGGAUUAUGGUGACUAUUGAGCUUACUUUUCGGCGCAGGUCGUGGCUUUUCUGUGGCACGCCUCCCACUGCUUCUCCUUGCUGGACUAGUCAACCUACAAGAGAUCAACUCAAACAAAAAGUACUCAAGGUGGACUUAAGCUGAACUGGUGAUGGUCUUAGAAACUGCAUGUUUGAAAGUGGCCAAGGUUCUUGAAAGCUAAAAACUUUGAACCUUGUAAACGACAGCAAGCUUUUUGCCAUUUGUUUCACUUACUAGAGCGCUUUGCUAAUGGGUACGAUAAGUAUAACAUAAGUGAAUGAAAAGAGAGGUCUCGUCCAACUAAUUAGUUUUCUCUGUGUUUUUAGUUCCAUGUACUGUCUGAUCAAUUCUACUGUAGCUCUGAACAGCAGGAGAAAAAUAAAGAAAGUUCAAGUAAAAUCUCAAAUAAAAAUUAUGUUCAAGUUGAAGCCCAGGAGUAUAUACAUAUGGAGCGGACAUGGCAAUCGAUCUUGUUGAUGAUUAUCAAUAAAUAGAUGGUGAAGUUGGCAAACGGCUGAAUCAGAUGGUGCCUACCCCUGUAAGUUCACUUGUCAUUGAGCGGUUAGCUGAAGAUUAAUCAUUUUCGGAAAUUCAAAGGUUUACGGUGCUAAUACCCAUUUCUUUCAGAAAAAUUAUCAGUUACAAGUAUCUGCAUUUUGUCGAAAGUUCUUCGGUAUAGCCCCCUCUCCAUCAAAGUAGAAGAGUACGUGUUGAUUUUCUCUCCCUUGUUCUGAUUGAUAUCAUACAGAAGCUAUUGUAGAUGAAUGAAUAUGGUGCAGUUGUUCCAUUCAUUAUAUGGGCAGCAACCUUGUUUAAAUCCUCCUUUGGCUUGGUUAGAACACGAGUUUCAGUAAACAAAAGGAAAACAAAAUGCAGGUGAUCGUGGCAUGUGUUCGUUCAAUAAGGGCUUUGGUGACGGUCCGCUGCUGGUGGCCGCCUCACCGUGGUUAAGUUUGGCGUAGUCGCAUGUGUCGCUUUCUGUUGUGGCCGGUCUCCAGGUACAUAGUGUUGUUCCUAUUCAUGCCUGUGUAUGUAGUGCUGCUCCGUUAAAUCAUUUGUUCAUCUUGUUUGUUCCAACCAUGCUAGAUGUCUAGUACUAUUAGCUUGCACUAGCCUCUACAUGAGCAUCUCAAGCCAUUGUUAAUAGAUGUGAGUAGUACUGUGCUGCUCUGUUAAAUCAUUUGUUCAUCUUGUUUGUUCCAACCAUGCUAGAUGCCUAGUACUAUUAUCUUGCACUAGCCUCUACAUGAGCAUCUUAAGCCGUUGUUAAUAGAUGUGAGUAGUACUGAUUGUUUUGCUUGAAUUGGCGUCUCAGAUUAUACUGGAGCAUGUGUUUUCACAGAUAGUUCAUGUUCCAGAUUGCCAAAAGUUCAAACAUAGUGAGAUGGAU